UAGAGUUGUUGUUAAGGUCUGUUAACGUCUAAAUUCUUUCUUUGAAGUGCUGCUUGAUUUUUUUGUUUUUGAACAUUUUUGGAAAUUUUUUCAACCAGAUUCUCGAGUUUCUCUGGACGUCUUUGGUGUUUUUGGCUUGAUCCACCGGACUAAUAAUUUGUUGGAAUCAUGGCACUCUUAGAAGACCAAACGUAUUGGCGGAUUGCACCUCAACGCGUGGGAUUUCUUAAUGAUAAAAUAUAAAUGAUUUCUUCUGUUAAACAGUUACUUCUUUACUCACUCGAUUUUAUAAAUUUUUAGCAAAGAAGCCCAAAAGUCCAAAGUCCAACGCUUGGGACUAUGAGGCCGAAUUAGCAGACAGGCGAUCUACGCGGCCUGAACCACUUCAGAUUUGGAAAAAAGACGAAUUCAUUGAAAAAAAAAUGAGCGUGACUUCAUCGAGGGAAGUAUCACUUUGCCGAAGUUUCUUAGAAUCUCAAGAAAUCUUACGGAUCCUGAUAAUGAGUACGGAUCUUAAUGACUCUUCCAAUAAUAGUCAUGCCGAUCAAGAACAACCGGCGGUUCGACAUAGGUGCCGAUUUUUGACUGGAUCAGUCAGGGCAGUUCAACUUCCUCCUCCUACCGAGGUUUGGUGAAUGUAACCAAGGCGAAAUGGAUGAGAAUCGUAUCACAAUCCAUGCCCCUACAUUUGGUAAAAUGGUCACUG
This is a long non-coding RNA of Daphnia pulex (common water flea), 706 nucleotides long. RefSeq lists it as uncharacterized. The record is from RefSeq and is a predicted model, not a curated record. The transcript is spliced from 3 exons. NCBI's taxonomy places the organism in Eukaryota, Metazoa, Arthropoda, Branchiopoda, Diplostraca, Daphniidae.